AAAUCAGAAAAGAGGAAAGGCGGAGAAAAACUGUCAGAUGUGAGGAAGCCUGGUGUGCUGUACUCUUCUUUGUUCUGUGUUUUCCCCCCCGUGUGCCUGCCUGUGGGGGGAAGAGCAUACCCCGUGUAGCACAGGUGUGUUGGCCAGGCGCCGCGGGCUGGGCGACAGGCAGGGAUGGAUUCCAGCUGCCCUGGGCUUCAGCAAGGGCACCAAUGGACCCCUCCUUCCUCUGCCGAGGUGCUGCUGAUGUUCAUGUAAGAAACUGCAGGAUGAGACCUCUGUCCCUUGUGGAUGGCUGGCAAGGCCCAGGCCUGCAGGAGAAGGGGCAGGAGGCUGCCAGCCCUUUGAACGGGAUGCUCAGGUCUGGGCUAAAAGCUUGCUGGCCUCUUGACUGCAAUUGAGUGAGAAGUAAUUUUGGCAGGUUUCGAUUUGUGCAGGGAAAAAUACCAGCAGAAUUACAUUUAAAUAACCAAAAUCUAUAAGCUUUCUGUCCACUGUAGGAAUUGAAUAGUUUUGCUUUGUCCACUGUUAGCUUUGAAUCAAAAUUGAAAGUGGUUGUUAGCAGUGUGUUGAUAAACAAUGUUCUUGAUGUUAUUGGUAGCAAUCGGGUACAGUUUUUAGCCAUUUCUGUUUCACUUGCACAUUAAAAUGUCUUGAUCUUACAUGUUUUCUUCUCAGUUUCCCUUGAUGUGCCCUUUCCCAUGUCACACAAAACCAAACUGCUUUGUUUUCUUUUUGGUUUGCUGUUCAUACCAUGUCCUCAGCUGAGACUCAGACUUGUUUCCCCCAGUAAUUUUGACCAAAAUGCUCUGGCAAAUGAAACUGGAUUCUUGUUUUGCAAAGAGGACAGGAGAUUAGAGAAAGCCACAAUAUUACCUUUUGCAAGAAGGUAAACCUAGGUCGCAUCUUGUUACAAUACUACUUACAAGGUACUUGACUAUAGUAUAAUAAAUGUCUCCGCAGAGCAGUGGCUGUAUGUAGUUCUUAAAGCAGUGCCAUGCAGUCUGAUAAUUGUUGUUAAGGUGUACUUAGAAUUAAAAAAAGGCAUAAACCAGCUGGAUUUAUUGCUGUUGUACCUUGGAAAUGUUAAUAGCAAAUAUUCCAAAGUCAAGCUUGGUUUUUGCUCCAAAGAAACAGAUAAGUGACACGUGUGCAAUGUGCCAAGGAGGAAUGCGACACAAAUCUGAAAUUUGGUGACGUUUGCUCACAAGGCAAAGCACUCUGACAGAGGAACAUGCAAUCCUGCAGAUAACUGAGCUUUCUUCUGCCCUGGCUGAGUGACACUCACCAGGUGUUAGGUACCUUGAGCUCUGUGUGGGUUUGAGGUGUGUGUCUGCCCAUGCACCGGGAAGCUCAGGCAGCUGCUUCGCCAUGAAAGGGUCAGAAAUAAGGUAAAAUGAAAACCAAAAUCUUAGUGUUAGAUGCCAGUCUACUGAGGUCACAGUUAAAUUUACUUUCAGAGAAAGGAAUUGAAUGCCGGUGGUGCAGUGUGUUUGGCCUGUUAAUUUAGGAGCUGGUUUAUUGAAGGAGAGGGAGCAAAAUAAAUGUCGGUUUAUAAAUAUAUCUUCUGUGUCUAUUAAUUAAUUAAUAUUUUUGCUCAUAUGUUAUAUAAAUAGACAUGUACUUCGUGCUGUGUUCUGGCAAAGGGUUAUAUGCAGAAAAAGAUGAAAGCGGCAUUUGGAUUUUCAAAUAAAAACAGAGCCUAAUGUCCAAAUUCCUCUGUUGAUGUUGGCUCAUGGUGAGGGUGAACCUGUGGCCCGCAGAGUGAGCCCCUUGCUCUCAGCAGAUGUUUUUCUGUGCCCACACUAAGCAGCUUAGGGAUUGGGGGCCUGAUUUUUGUUUUAUUUCUCCUUAAUUUUUUUUAAAUUUUUUUAUUUUUUUGUGAGAGGCCAAGAAUAAAACACUGCAAAGCAGACUGUGCAGACACAGCUCCUCUGAAUUUUCACCUGGAUUUCUGAAUUUGAUAGAUCUUUCUCAAUUUGCCUUCCUAAAGCUAGCACAGCAAUUGAUAUCGCCACAUUUGGUUUCAAAAUAAUGCAUUUUAGUCCCAAUAUAACAGGUUUCACCAAUGGACCUGUCCCCACUGAGGAACUGCAGUAGGUCUGUGAUGUUUGGGAGCUGCACUGCUUGUGCAGUUGAGGAAAACAAAUUGCCACCGUGCUAGAAGCACGUUCAGACCUGGCCACUGCAAACAUGUGGCAGCACCAACUUGAAUGCAAUCCCGGAGCCAGAACUCUGCAUCAAGGUUGUGCCAGUGUGUCUGGUUCCCAGACCCCAGCUGAAUCUGCAGAACCAGUUAAAUUUUGCUAUGAUGAGAAUGCAAAAUUAAUUUUUAGUGGAUUAAUUCUGUACAGGCUUAUUCUUUGACAGGCUGUAAGCAGUGUCCAGUUUGAAACAAAUGGAAAAAACCAACAACCCAGAUGCAGUGAGUAAUAGGCAGAAUGUGUGCUUAUAUUCAGGUUUUCUGUGCUUUUUGGGGUGAACUGUAGCAUUUUCAGGUGCAUUCCAUGGCAGGUUAGGUAUGUAGACAGGGAAUUUCCUGGAAGUGAAUCUGGAUCCUUUCAAUGAAAAGCCACACAGUCUCAUUCACACAAGACUGCAGGUGUAGGCAUUGUGCUUUUACACACCUGCUCUUCUGGGAGUGGGAACUGGAUGCAGACACUUAAGGUGUAGCACCUUGUAAAGCUUCUUGUUCUGUUUGUUCUUACUCUUUUGGCCUGGACAAAAGGUGAAGUGCUGGCAGUGUAGUUCACACGGCUGCACCACCUGAGGUGGAGUUGUACCCUGCACAUGGGUUGUAUAACACCCUGUCAGUCCUGCCUGCACCAGAAAGCCCUGGCACUGGCGAGGUGCUGCCACUGUUUCAAGUACUUGGUUAACUACCCUGCUUUGCUCCCUACAGUGCUUUAAAGUGUGUUGGCAACUGGAAGUGUAUUGGUGAGUCACGGUCUAGACUGGCUCCCAUUAACACAGGGCAAUAAACCUCAGCAGCAUUGCCACACAUCCCUGCUUUUGUCAGGAGCUGCUGCCUUCCUGCUGAGCAGAUGCCCCGUUUGGUGGGGUAGAUGGAUGGAGGAGUAGGGAAGGUGUCAGAAUACUGAAACAGGCCGUGCACCACGCAUACAGUGAAAUCUCAAUCUAGCAUGUAGGUGAGCAGAUCCUGCUGGCUCACCCAUAGACUGACAGCAGAGGAUAUGGAGAGGCCUUUGCCUCUUCUGUGUUAGUCUUCUCAUCUCAGUUAGCACCUGUUCAAAUUCCUUAGGUGUGUCUGCUAAAUGUUGAAUCAACCAAAAGCUGAAAUCCAAUACCUAGAAUUCUUGUGUGGGGAAAGGAAGGUGGUGGAUAGGGAUGGCUCCAGGGACGUGCUGUGAGAAGUAGCACAGCAUCUUGCAGACCAAUGUCUGCAUUUGCUUGGUUCCUCCUUGUUCUUUCAAAUCUUCUUUGGACAGUUUUUUCACAAAUAAGAUUUAUAAUCAGUGAACCACUUGGCAUUUGCUAAAGGGAUAUUAGAGCUGUCUCAGAUCAACAGUGUAGUCAAAGCACCAGUGUUCGUUAUCCCUUCCUUCUGAACAUAUGAUUUACAGGUUUUUUUGUUGUUGGCUUUGUCCCUUUAUUUUGAUCUGAACCUUUUUGCCUUUUUUUUUUCUCACUGCUACCCCCAACUUCCCCAAGCUUCUUGUGGAGAUGUGAACUCAGUGAAGUGAACCUAAGUUAAACACCAGAAGUCUUCCUUCUCUUGAAGCUGUUUCUGAAAGGCUCCACAGACCAUUUGCCUGCAAACCACAGUCAUAUAUCUGUCUCUCUCAUAUAAAUAUAUAUAUAUAUACAUAUAGCUUAUUAGUUGUGACCUACAUCAUAUCUUCACUAAGGUAAUAAAAGACUCCAUUUUGAAACAGGGUACUGGGUUCUGUGGAGACCAGUUUUUACGUUAUUUUCCCUCACUUUAGGUUGCAUAAACAGCAGGAGAUGGAUAUUCUUGCAAUAUACUGUGCUCUGGACAAUGAGGGAAAUAAAAACCAAUAUUCUGAGAGAGGUUCAUCUCCUGAAAACAAAUGCAACCAAAGAAACCCCUGUCAUACUUUGUAAUAGGGUAUUUAACUUGCUCUGUAGAUGGAGCAAUUCUCAGGCAAAUGUCAGGACUCCUGGUUUUGGUUCCUGCCUAGGGCCUGGUAUCUGGGGCAUUAGCCCCCGACACCUCCCGAAAUGUGUGGCUGGUGCCCACGUUUGCACACUGCAGGCGUCGCUGAGGCUUUUGUGUCCCCAAGAGCUCUGCCAAGCGGCACAGGGUCACUGCCGCUCGGUUUGGCAGCUGGCACGCCCAGGGCUGUGCCGCUCCAGAGCUGCUCUGGCUGGACACACCUCAGGAGAGCACCGGGGCCACCCUUCAUGUACCACAGGAGCCCUGUAGGUGUGCUGUAUGCGGGACUGACAGCUGCUCACGGCAUCCUCUCUCAGCCCAGCAAAAUCCCCCGUGCAGGCUGAGUUUCUUGGCCAAUGGUUCCUGUGCUGUCCCAGCGUGUGCUCGCCAGAGCUGCUGGGAGCUGGCAGCCCAGAAUGGGCCAGCUGGAGUGAUCGUGUUCACCUUUGUGUCUAAUUGCCAGAAAUGUCAAGGAGUUCAUGUCAUAGGGAUGAAUCCAGGCCAGCCUGUAUUUCCUCUCUGGUUCCAAAGUUCCCUACUAACAGUGCCUUAGACAGACCUUGUUGAGGGUGUCCAGGGACAAUGGUUCUCUCCUGAACUUCUGUUCUCCAUGUGUUUUCAUAAAUACUGGUGGAUUUAGCAUAGUCUUUGUCAAUUUUUGUGAACACUGGUGUGGAGAAAUGAUUGUGGAGAAAGUCUGAUCUCUGUGUAGAGAGUAGAAGAUAAAAACAAUAUCCUCUUAAGACAGCCAAAUGACCAAGCCCACCUCGCCGUAUUAAUGUAGCACAGAAAAUGUAUGUAACACUUGCAGUGUUGCAGCAUUGGUCAGGGGCACUUAAAUGGCAUUGUAGAAUUACACACAUUACUUGAUCACUUGAUGCAACAAGUGUUAAAAAAGCCCCAAAAACAUAAAGAAUUCAUAGGUUUUUGAGACAAAGAUGCCAGGUAAUGGUUGACAUAAUGGAUGUCUUGGUACCAAGACUGAGGUGCUUUCUGGUGAGAGUGGAUUAGCAUCAGUACACGUUUCCGUGUUACAUGCAGAGGGGCAGUUCACUUAGUUCCUUGCAGGAUCAGGAGCUGCACUGGCCUGAGAUCCGUUGCUGCAUUGUGAGUUUGUUCACUGGAUGUUUCUUGUGUGAGCUUUGCUUUCUUUUUCCCUCUCUGUGGCUGGAGUGAUGUUCUGCCAUCAGUCACACCCAGGUACAGCAUCCAGCAGCUCGGGUGUGUGCAGGGAGAGGCAGGACAGCUCGGCACCGGGCAGCAUUUGUGCACGAAGGCUCCCUAAUCCCCUGGGAUGUCUCUGCUCCUGGAGGGACUGUGCACUCACCCUGCACAAAGGCACCUUACUCUGCACCCUGUGCCCAGCUGCAGGCUGAGGUUGCAGCAGGCUCCAGCAGAGCUGCUCUGACAUAAUCUGCCAGCCCUAAAAGCCGCCACCGCCUCUCCAUCUUUUGAUUCUUACGUGCUGGGCAUGUUUUCAGUGGGACAAAACUGAAAGUACGGAAAAUCGCUGGUUCUGAAGCAGCGACAGUAACUUCGUUUUAGGAAUGUUUUUAAUCUGAGCUGUGUAAAUAAAUAAAAUGAAUAUUUUUAGCUGAAUCAGUUUAAAAAAAAAAAACCUCCAAGAAUUUAGGGCUGCUUUCUAAUGGCAAAAAACCCGAGGCAUCACUUGGAGAAGAAAAAAAUCUCUAAUCCAAGUAGAUUGGAAGAGGAUAACAUACUGCUGUGGUCAGUACAGGGACUAUGAUUUUUUUGGGUUUUAUUUUCUGUUUGUAGACUGAGAAGAAUGAAGAGGAUUCCUCUUUUGUUGCCAUUAAGAUGUCAACAACAGCAACAGCAGUGAUUAGCUGCUGAGUUUUCUUUCUGCUUCUCCGUGUGCUUGAAAGCUGGCUUUUUGGGUGCUUUCUGCUCUUAGCUGUUACCAUUUACAUCUUCGAACACUUUCUGCCCCUCAUAAUUUUUCUUCACAGAUAAAAAUCUCGUGGGCUGUUUUUAUUACUAACCUGCUCAGUUUUUUUAUGUUCAUUUCUGUCUCUGAAUGUAUUGAACACUAAUAAAUGCAAAUAUAUUAUAAUUCCCUCCAAAUCUACACUUUACUCAUGGAAAUUAAGUUGAUACCCUGAAGAAUCUUAAAGUGAACCAGUUUAAUAGAAAAGCUGUUUCAUAAUCCAUGUUAAAUACGUAUUUUAGAGAACUCUUUUGCCAUUUAUGCCGGUAUUGACUUUUAAGUAUUCUAAAUCUUUGUUUAUUUAUCCUUUCUCUAAUAUUUCUUUUCUCUUUUUAAUAGGUCAUCACACAACGAACUAGAAAAACAUAGAGGAGCUUAAUGUAUGUGUUGUUGUAGACUGCUGACUGGGGGAGACUGAAAAUGUUCCCACAUGCACAGAAGUUUGUUUAUCAAAGUCUAUAAAGAAUUGGAUCUGCAGAACUGGAGAUUUAAUCCUGUGUUUUUCCUGAAGUGACCCAUGUUUCUGAGUCUGACAGAUCUGUGGAAUUAAAGAAAUUGGAAGGUUUAAAA
Cyanistes caeruleus (blue tit) is the source of this 6656-nucleotide non-coding RNA. Lineage: Eukaryota; Metazoa; Chordata; Aves; Passeriformes; Paridae. The record is from RefSeq and is a predicted model, not a curated record.